AGGCCUCCAUUGACGACGGUGAGAGAUUUUUCUGAGGGGUUUUGUGGGUGUUUUUCCAUUGCUGGGGGAGAAGAGACAUUAGAGAGGUUUGAGGGGAGCGAGAGGAGGUGUUUUUGGCUGCCAUUCUUGAGGAUUUACAGCUCCCGGAGAAUCAAGUAUUUUGGCUUCAAGGGAGGCAUUCAGGUUUGAUCAUCUCCCACUUGAGGUUUCCUCACUUUUACAGUCAUACUUUAACCAUUUCUGAUGUUUGAGAUCCUCAUUUUUUACUGUCUAGAAUUUUAAGCUGGUUUCUCAUCUUUGUUUGUUUGAUCUCUAUUUAUUCCUGUGCUAGUUACAUGAUGUUCAUGCUAUCUCCUUACAUGUGGAAACCACUGAUCUAUCUCACCAGUUUUUUUUUAAGCUCUUUGGUUUCCAUGAAAUAAAGCUAUGUUUAAUGUCAUUAUCUGCUUUUGUUCACAUUCUAUUUCUCUUCAUUUUCCUCUCUGUUCCUGGUACUUUUGGAGUGGGUAUCCCUUUUGGGCUGGUCGUCUGGAUUGAAAGG
RNAcentral lists this long non-coding RNA (541 nucleotides) under Vitis vinifera (wine grape). RNAcentral describes it as "long non-coding RNA (VVIN_LNC005085)". Lineage: Eukaryota; Viridiplantae; Streptophyta; Magnoliopsida; Vitales; Vitaceae. The record is from RNAcentral.